AGAGAAUCACUUGAACCCGGGAGGUGGAGGUUGCAGAGAGCCGAGAUCACUCCAUUGCACUCCAGCCUGGGCAACAGAG
This 79-nucleotide small nuclear RNA is filed under the name Homo sapiens (human). Its description in RNAcentral is "partial ncRNA". Lineage: Eukaryota; Metazoa; Chordata; Mammalia; Primates; Hominidae. The record is from RNAcentral.